RNAcentral lists this ribosomal RNA (253 nucleotides) under uncultured bacterium. RNAcentral's name for it is "partial 16S ribosomal RNA". It matches the Rfam family "Bacterial small subunit ribosomal RNA", at positions 524 to 776 of the family's 1533-position model. The record is from RNAcentral.
UACGUAGGGUGCGAGCGUUGUCCGGAAUUAUUGGGCGUAAAGGGCGCGUAGGUGGCGUCGCAAGUCAACGGUGAAAGCUCGACGCUCAACGUCGAGUCGGCCGUCGAGACUGCGAGGCUGGAGCACUGUAGAGGCUCAUGGAAUUCCGGGUGUAGCGGUGGAAUGCGUAGAGAUCCGGAAGAACACCGGUGGCGAAGGCGGUGAGCUGGGCAGUUGCUGACACUGAGGCGCGACAGCGUGGGGAGCAAACAGG